GGAGUUUGAUCCUGGCUCAGAUUGAACGCUGGCGGCAUGCUUUACACAUGCAAGUCGAACGGCAGCACGGGUGCUUGCACCUGGUGGCGAGUGGCGAACGGGUGAGUAAUGCACCGGAACGUACCCAGUAAUGGGGGAUAACACAUCGAAAGAUGUGCUAAUACCGCAUACGCCCUGAGGGGGAAAGCGGGGGAUCGUAAGACCUCGCGUUAUUGGAGCGGCCGAUGCCGGAUUAGCUAGUUGGUGAGGUAAGAGCUCACCAAGGCGACGAUCCGUAGCUGGUCUGAGAGGACGACCAGCCACACUGGGACUGAGACACGGCCCAGACUCCUACGGGAGGCAGCAGUGGGGAAUUUUGGACAAUGGGCGCAAGCCUGAUCCAGCCAUGCCGCGUGAGUGAAGAAGGCCUUCGGGUUGUAAAGCUCUUUCGCAAGGAAAGAAAACUUAUCUACUAA
This 455-nucleotide ribosomal RNA is filed under the name uncultured bacterium. RNAcentral's name for it is "bacterial SSU rRNA". It matches the Rfam family "Bacterial small subunit ribosomal RNA", at positions 9 to 463 of the family's 1533-position model. The record is from RNAcentral.